This 284-nucleotide long non-coding RNA is filed under the name Homo sapiens (human). Its description in RNAcentral is "non-protein coding LENG8-AS1:7". The record is from RNAcentral. Lineage: Eukaryota; Metazoa; Chordata; Mammalia; Primates; Hominidae.
GCAGACCCCCGAAGGUCCCUGAGGUCAGGCUGAGGCAUUGGACCAAAUCCGUACAUAGGCAUUUCUCUGAACUGCGCGCCACCUUUUGAGUGCCAUCUGUUUCCGUCCAGGACUCUGAUACAACUAUCCAGUCCGCUGCAGGGACCGGUCACUGUGUCACACAUUCUGUACACAGAUACAGCGAUAAAAUGAAAUGACUGGAACUUAAAUGUGAAAACUCUUUACAAGUAAGCCCACAAUUAGAUACAUUUAUCUUACAUGUCAGGGAAAAAAAUUAUGUAAAC